GACGAACGCUGGCGGCGUGCUUAACACAUGCAAGUCGAACGGAAAGGCCCUGCUUGCAGGGUACUCGAGUGGCGAACGGGUGAGUAACACGUGGGUGAUCUGCCCUGCACUUCGGGAUAAGCCUGGGAAACUGGGUCUAAUACCGGAUAGGAGCCAUUUUUAGUGUGAUGGUUGGAAAGAUUUUUCGGUGUUGGAUGAGCUCGCGGCCUAUCAGCGUGUUGGUGGGGUAAUGGCUUACCAAGGCGGCGACGGGUAGCCGGCCUGAGAGGGUGGACGGCCACACUGGGACUGAGGGACGGCCCAGACGCCGACGGGAGGCAGCAGGGGGGAAUAUUGCACAAUGGGCGCAAGCCUGAUGCAGCGACGCCGCGUGGGGGAUGACGGUCUUGUGGUUGUAAACACCCUUCGCUAGGGACGAAGCUUUUUGUGACGGUACCUAGAUAAGAAGCACCGGCUAACUACGUG
Molecule: ribosomal RNA, 465 nt
Filed under: uncultured bacterium
Lineage: Bacteria
Description: partial 16S ribosomal RNA
Rfam family: Bacterial small subunit ribosomal RNA
Source: RNAcentral